Molecule: long non-coding RNA, 663 nt
Organism: Folsomia candida
Lineage: Eukaryota; Metazoa; Arthropoda; Collembola; Entomobryomorpha; Isotomidae
Exons: 4
Source: RefSeq, a predicted model, not a curated record
UCCAGGAUCAAUCUAAAUUCGUCCCUUCCUGGAUUUCAGGGACAAACAUGACGCGUUAAUGGAAUUGCCUCGUUUUGUGAAAGCUGGAACGAAACUGAUAAAUGGUUAGUUAGUUACUUUAAGAUUGAAGUGAAAUAGUGUUGUUUGUCCAGUUCUGGUUAAGACGCGAUGAUUGAUGCAAACGUCAACUUAACAAAAAUCUGAUCUACCCAAGCUUUUUAGAUCAGAUACGUCUCACUCGCCACCAAGUGAGCAUUGUGACUUGUGCUAGUUCCUUACUUUCUUUUUAAAGUGUGUAAAAUAAUUGAGAACUUGGCCGUAAAUUUUUCAUGGGUUGAUGUUCGGGGUGCAUAAAUACCACCUCAAAAUUGAUGCAAGCCUGGACUUGAACUUUGCUGCCAGAAGGAAGCUCACGUCUUGCAGGUGCGCAACGUCACGAUGAAUUAAUGCCAGUAAAAGUUAAAUAACUCUAAGUGAUUAAAGUUUCGCCAAAAAAUAAGUGUGAUAAUAUCAAGGUAGCCUUACGAAAUGAAAUGAGGGAUCAUCUCCAUACGCCGUUUCGUGUCUACAUGUCCCGCCCUCUAAACCAUUCCCCAGAUUUCCAGGAUGGUAGACUUUUAGAAUUUCCUAUAUGGUCUCCCCUCGCCCCGCGGAAGAUGACAC